RNAcentral lists this ribosomal RNA (525 nucleotides) under uncultured bacterium. RNAcentral's name for it is "bacterial SSU rRNA". It matches the Rfam family "Bacterial small subunit ribosomal RNA", at positions 774 to 1304 of the family's 1533-position model. The record is from RNAcentral.
AGAAAAUAGAUACCCUGGUAGUCCACGCCGUAAACGAUGGAUACUAGCUGUUCGGAGCAAUCUGAGUGGCUAAAGCGAAAAAAGUGAUAAGUAUCCCACCUGGGGAGUACGCACGCAAGUGUGAAACUCAAAGGAAUUGACGGGGCCCGCACAAGCGGUGGAGCAUGUGGUUUAAUUCGAUGAUACGCGAGGAACCUUACCAGGGCUUAAAUGUAGAUUGACAGGACUGGAAACAGUUUUUCUUCGGACAAUUUACAAGGUGCUGCAUGGUUGUCGUCAGCUCGUGCCGUGAGGUGUCAGGUUAAGUCCUAUAACGAGCGCAACCCCUGUCGUUAGUUGCCAGCGAGUCAUGUCGGGAACUCUAACGAGACUGCCAGUGUAAACUGUGAGGAAGGUGGGGAUGACGUCAAAUCAUCACGGCCCUUACGUCCUGGGCCACACACGUGCUACAAUGGUAGGUACAGAGAGCAGCCACUGCGCGAGCAGGAGCGAAUCUACAAAACCUAUCUCAGUUCGGAUCGGAGU